Molecule: ribosomal RNA, 332 nt
Filed under: uncultured Nitrospirota bacterium
Lineage: Bacteria; Pseudomonadati; Nitrospirota
Description: bacterial SSU rRNA
Rfam family: Bacterial small subunit ribosomal RNA
Source: RNAcentral
AACGAACGCUGGCGGCGUGCUUAACACAUGCAAGUCGAACGGGGUUACAUUGUGUAGCAAUACAUGGUGUAACUUAGUGGCGGACGGGUGAGUAACACGUAGGUAACCAACCCUAGAGCGGGGGACAACCCAGGGAAACUUGGGCUAAUACCGCAUAAGACCACGGACUGGGAGGUCAGUGGUAAAAGGAGCAAUUCACUCUAGGAUGGGCCUGCGGCCUAUCAGGUAGUUGGCGGGGUAAAGGCCCACCAAGCCUAAGACGGGUAGCCGGACUGAGAGGUUGAACGGCCACACUGGAACUGAGACACGGUCCAGACUCCUACGGGAGGCUG